UCAGCUUCAUCAAGAGAAGUUCCAGAAAUCCAAGCGUCGGCUGCAACACUUUCGUUCCAUCAUCAUGCAACCUCGACAAGCACAGCAAGCACCGUCAAUUCAGAUUCUUCAGACCCCCAAGGUUCUGAAAUAUGUCGAAGUCCUCCAAGUAUAAGCCAUACUCGUGUAUAGCCUGCUGUAAGCGCAUCAAGACUAGCGUACGAAGACCGCUUUAUGGAAAUCAGGCUCUUCGAAAAUUUUUGUCAAAGAGAUUUGUGAAAGAUUUAGGUAAGGAUGACGUAGUCUGUAACAAGUGCAGGCAACUCUACUACGUCUCCCUCAGACAAGAAUCCAGAGUUCCAGAAGUCCAAAAUGUUGAAGACAAACAAAAUGCUGCCCCGCCUGAACCUGUAAUACUACCCAUUCUGUCCACCGGAUAUCGACAUGACGCUUGUGGAAUAUGUGAAAAGAAGCCCCGUAAACUAGUUGUCAUUCCAGAGCAGACUCGGCUUGAAGUGUUUGUACAACUUGGUGUGUUCAUGAAAGAGGGUUCCAGGUGUUGUCCUUCUCAUAUUUAUGGCGGACACUUGACAUCAGAGGCGUUGAGCUACGGGUUUUCUGAGAGAGUUAGAAAAUGUACGUCACUCAGCAAUGACAAUUUAAGGAAUCUUCUUGACAGUUUAAGAAACUAUGCGAAGAGAAAAGCAUCCACUCGUCUGGAUUUUGAUAAUGAUACUUCUCUUUCUGACGAGGAUUAUCGCAACCUGACAGGACUCACCCGGACGCAGUUCGAGGAUCUAAUGGUUAAUGUGGAGGAAAUCAAGACAUCCAAAUCCAGAAGCAUCCGCACUUGUGUUGCAAUUUUGCUGAUGAAACUGCGAUGUGCUCUAGAUAAUAAAAUGCUGGCUACCCUUUUUAAUAUGAAAAAGUGGCAGGUAUGCAGAGCCGUUUCCUCAGCAAGACGCUCCCUUAUGAAGGACUUUGUGCCACAAAACCUGGGAUUUGGACAUAUUUCUCGCGACGAAGUCAUAACUAAGCAUACGAGGCCCCUAGCACAGGAGUUGUUUUCCCCUGGUUUGACAGAGACGACCCCAGCUUUGCUAGUGUUAGACGGAACGUAUAUAUACAUCCAGAAGUCUAACAAUUUCAGUUUUUCCAGACGCUCGUAUAGUCUACAUAAACAUAGACCUCUCGUUAAGCCAAUGAUGGUCGUUAUGACAUCUGGAUAUACUGUGUCCGUCCUCGGUCCAUAUCUAUCCGAUUAAAAAAACAACGACGCCGGUAUUCUUAGCCACAUGAUUGAAAGAAAUGCCGAAGAAAUGAAGAGUUGGUUACAGGAAGGAGACACAUUUAUAGUCGAUCGUGGCUUCAGAGACAGUGCCGACGUUCUGGCUGACAUCGGUAUUCGGAUGGAGAUGCCAAGUUUUCUGAGAGGAGCAAAGCAACACCCUACCGAGGAGUCAAACAGCUCCAGAUUGAUUACUAAGGUGCGCUGGGUUGUGGAGUCCGCCAACGGACGAAUAAAGCGUUGGAAAUUCCUGGACCGGACAGUAUCCAAUAAUCAGAUUCCAUUCAUAGCCGAUUAUGUACGCAUAGUUGCUGCAAUCUCCAACAGAUAUUGCCCUCCGUUAAGUUCUGGAGCAGACGACGAUCAAGCCAUCGCAUUAAAAAUGCUUCAUUUAUCCCAGAAAGGUAAUGAGCUCAGAGAGCUCGUGGAAAGCGAGGGUUGGGACAGGAGACCUUCCCAGUGGAAAGCUCUUGAUGCAGAUAGUGUUGCCAUAGAUUUUCCUAUUUUGUCUGAAGAUGAGAUCCACAAUAUCACAUUAGGAACCUAUCAGGUCAAGAUGGCCAGAGCAUACACACAUGAACAUUUCCAAGAUGACGGUGCGUAUGACAUUCUUAUUGCAGAAGAUAAAGCAAACAUAAUUGGAGCAAAAAUUCAAAGUCGUCACGUGUCGGCCAAAACAUACCUUUGUUGAAUUCGCCACAGUGAAGGGACUAUUUUAUCGUGGUACUGUAAAUGUAAAUCUGGUUCCCGUGUUGUCGGGUGUUGUGCACACAUUACCAGCGUGCUUUGGUAUCUUUCCUUUGCACGGCACCAGUCUAAACCUUUGAAUGGCGUUCGAAACUGGGCGGAUCACCUUGAAGACGCUGCCCGUGUUGUUGAUGAAUCCGACAGUGGUGCAGAGAGUCCUACGGAGGAAUAAAUGUAGACUGCUUUUGAAGUUUUGUUAUUUAUAUUAUCUGUGAUAACAUUUUCUUGUUGAUAAACGUGAAUUGAUUUCAAG
Saccostrea echinata is the source of this 2267-nucleotide RNA transcript. RefSeq lists it as uncharacterized. NCBI's taxonomy places the organism in Eukaryota, Metazoa, Mollusca, Bivalvia, Ostreida, Ostreidae. The record is from RefSeq and is a predicted model, not a curated record. The transcript has 4 exons.